CCGUGAUUACAUUAAUUACCGACCCAAAAGUCCAAAACCAAUGUAUAAUCAAAAUCACAUUCAGUGACAAUCAUAUAACUAUUAAAGUCUUAAUGCUAGUGUUAAAAAAAGAAAAGAAAAAAGUACUUGCUUGUAGGAACGAAUUGGAAAAGGAGUUCUAGUUUAACAUUUCAAUUUUCAACAUCCCGCGUUCAGAUGUUCACUUCCCACUUAAUUUUGAACCUCCCUCCAAAUCCCCCAUUUUAGGUUAGCUAUCAGAUUCAUUUCAUUUCUCUUCCCAUCACCACAGUCCUCCACUUACUUGCCGAUCUCCAUCAGUCAUCAGGACUCAGAGCAAGUGAUUACGGGGUGAAAGGUUUGAUCGAUUUUGAGUCCUUGAUCUUAGUCUGAAGAAGAAGAAGAAUCGCCCAGACACUGAGAAGGUUUUGAGGUUAGUCACAGUCCAAGUCUGAGGCAUAUUUUUUUUCUUUCCUUUGCUGCCUUUUGUGGAUGCAUUCUUCUAAACCAAGCAUCAGUUCGUUGUGAAUUGGAUUCUUCUGCUGUAAAUUUAGGAUCUUUAAAUACCUAAUUCAGAUUUGGAAAGUGCUUGAGAAUGCAAGACUGGACCUAUCUAUGUUUUCAUACGACUAUAUUCUAGGUGACUGGUUUGAGGAAGAAGCCAUCUUCACUGUUGUGACUGCAGGUGCUAAAUAAGACAACUGGUACUUUCAGCAAAUCUCCCUCCUGUUUCUUCAGUACUGCUUCUAAGGUUGCUUUGGAGUGUUAAACUUUCUUGGUGUUUUGAUCGGUAUUAUCCUCAUUAAUAUACAAACGGAACCACUUGUGAUCUUACAAAACAAGUGACGAGAUACUGAAAUAUGAAGCUAUGAACUUUGUUUAGUUUUCAUUUUUCUGUUCCCAUCCCUCUUCUCCUUACUCUAUAUGCAUUUGGCAAGUGAGAUUUGUAUGCUCAGACCUGAGAGCUAUGAUUAGUUCAAUUACAGAGAUAUCCACCUGCAAGUAUGCAGUUGCAAUUAAAUGCCCCACACUUUGCAAGCAUCCAUUAUUCCUAUCAGAGAGACCGGUAUGGCAGACCAUUAAUUGUAAUGUACUUUCCCAAGGAUUACAAGGAAACCCAAGUUGAGGAUGAAGAAUCUAAAAUUAAGCAGAUGGUUAUGGUCAUAGACAGUGAAUCUCAUUCCAAUGAUGAAUCUGACAACUAACAUUUUAUAAAUUCAGAAAAUUUUGAGAAUGCUAAUGAUAGCCAACCUUAUGUAAUGUCGUAUUCUUUUGCACCUUUCACAAGUUUAUGAAAACCUAGUCAUUGAUUGUCCUUUUAACAUUGUUGCCGUAAUAUUUCGAGAUGGAUAUCAUAUCCUGAAUUGAUACUAGUAAAUCAGAAUGUUUAUACCACAUUUACUUAAAAGCAGCAAAUAUGCUUUUUUAUAAUUCCAGAAAUGGUGAAAGGCGGGUUAGAUAAACUACAUGGCACCAAUAUUAGUCUUGGAACAGUCGGGAAAAUGCCGGAUCAAAGACAUUGAUCAUCUGGAACACCAU
Long non-coding RNA from Rosa chinensis, 1536 nucleotides. RefSeq lists it as uncharacterized. The record is from RefSeq and is a predicted model, not a curated record. Lineage: Eukaryota; Viridiplantae; Streptophyta; Magnoliopsida; Rosales; Rosaceae. The transcript has 4 exons.